Long non-coding RNA from Aricia agestis (brown argus), 258 nucleotides. RefSeq lists it as uncharacterized. The record is from RefSeq and is a predicted model, not a curated record. The transcript has 3 exons. NCBI's taxonomy places the organism in Eukaryota, Metazoa, Arthropoda, Insecta, Lepidoptera, Lycaenidae.
GAACUGUUCGACACUAUUGACUGUAUGCCUAUGAACUCUCGCCUUUCUCCUGACAACGACCAACAGCCGCAUGCUACAGACAAACCGGACAUUAUAGAUAUUGAGGGGUUCGAGGGCAGUAUUCUCCUUUCUGAUUCGGAAUAAAUAAAGAUUUUGUUGACGACCUCAGAAGAUCUUUUUAGUUUUAGGAUAUUGCCUUGUCGUAAAUAUUUAAGUACACAAUAUAUUUGGUUUACCAAAUAAAAGAGUAACUUUGAA